Molecule: small RNA, 29 nt
Filed under: Bombyx mori (domestic silkworm)
Lineage: Eukaryota; Metazoa; Arthropoda; Insecta; Lepidoptera; Bombycidae
Description: ovarian small RNA-37165
Source: RNAcentral
UUCCCGCAACUGCCGAGGCUAGAGCCGCU